UCAACCUCAUUUAUAUUGUAAUAAAUGAUAUACCACAUAUACUGCAAGCUCUACUUCAGAUCUUACUUGAAUGUUAACUUAUACGUGUAGAUAUGCACAAUGAGGACCAGUUUGGAUCCAAACUUUCUGAUAAAAGAGUGGUGGAUUUUUGCUGCUGCCAGCUAACUGUCUUGCCAACAAUGAUUGCCAUUUUUAUGCCUUGCCAACAAUGAUUACUAUUCUAUGCCUUAUCAACAAUGAUUGCCAGUUUUAUGUCUUACCAUUUGCAUGUUGCUAUAAAUAAAAUCAUUGCUGAAAAAUAGUACUUUAGAAAAAUACAAAUGCUUUAUUCCAGUAUAGACAUUUUUUUUCAAGGGAUGACAAAAAAUAACCUUUCCUUAACAUUCCUAUUUUUCUAUACAUCGACUUCUUUGAAGGAAUGACACAGUUUUACAUGAACCUGUUAAUUAGUUGCAGUUGACAGUAAACGCAGCAACACAUUUACAACAUGAAAGACUAGAAUAUAAUUAAAUGACUAUUAUAUC
Mytilus californianus (California mussel) is the source of this 524-nucleotide long non-coding RNA. RefSeq lists it as uncharacterized. NCBI's taxonomy places the organism in Eukaryota, Metazoa, Mollusca, Bivalvia, Mytilida, Mytilidae. The record is from RefSeq and is a predicted model, not a curated record. The transcript has 2 exons.